This 466-nucleotide ribosomal RNA is filed under the name uncultured bacterium. RNAcentral describes it as "partial 16S ribosomal RNA". It matches the Rfam family "Bacterial small subunit ribosomal RNA", at positions 28 to 507 of the family's 1533-position model. The record is from RNAcentral.
GAUGAACGCUGGCGGCGUGCUUAACACAUGCGAGUCGAACGAUGAAGCCCAGCUUGCUGGGCGGAUUAGUGGCGAACGGGUGAGUAACACGUGAGUAACCUGCCCUUGACUCUGGGAUAAGCCCGGGAAACUGGGUCUAAUACCGGAUAGGAGCGCCUGUCGCAUGACGGGUGCUGGAAAGAUCUUUCGGUCAUGGAUGGACUCGCGGCCUAUCAGCUUGUUGGUGAGGUAACGGCUCACCAAGGCGACGACGGGUAGCCGGCCUGAGAGGGUGACCGGCCACACUGGGACUGAGACACGGCCCAGACCCCUACGGGAGGCAGCAGUGGGGAAUAUUGCACAAUGGGCGAAAGCCUGAUGCAGCGACGCCGCGUGAGGGAUGACGGCCUUCGGGUUGUAAACCUCUUUCAGCGGGGAAGAAGCGAAAGUGACGGUACCUGCAGAAGAAGCACCGGCUAACUACGUG